UUUGGUUUUAUUUUUUUCGAUUUGAAUUCCAAUGCCUUCAUUUCUACUAGAUUCUUGGUGUUUGAGUUCUGACGCUGAGCUUUUCUUCCGUUUGGAACUGUGGAAAGAAGAAAAUUCAUUUUUUUGUUUAGAAGGGAAUUUCGAUUUUCCUGAGAUGGAGGAGUAUUUUAUGCUUUUAUUUCCUUUUGUUUUUCCAGAUUUUUCAUACUAUUUUCAUCAUUAUCAAAACUCCUUUUUUUAAAAUAAUGCACCUGCCUUUUCG
Molecule: long non-coding RNA, 262 nt
Filed under: Lathyrus oleraceus (garden pea)
Lineage: Eukaryota; Viridiplantae; Streptophyta; Magnoliopsida; Fabales; Fabaceae
Description: Pisum sativum (pea) long non-coding RNA (PSAT_LNC006123)
Source: RNAcentral